UACGUAGGGCGCAAGCGUUAUCCGGAAUUAUUGGGCGUAAAGAGCUCGUAGGCGGUUUGUCGCGUCUGCCGUGAAAGUCCGGGGCUUAACCCCGGAUCUGCGGUGGGUACGGGCAGACUUGAGUGAUGUAGGGGAGACUGGAAUUCCUGGUGUAGCGGUGAAAUGCGCAGAUAUCAGGAGGAACACCGAUGGCGAAGGCAGGUCUCUGGGCAUUAACUGACGCUGAGGAGCGAAAGCAUGGGGAGCAAACAGG
This 253-nucleotide ribosomal RNA is filed under the name uncultured bacterium. RNAcentral's name for it is "partial 16S ribosomal RNA". It matches the Rfam family "Bacterial small subunit ribosomal RNA", at positions 524 to 776 of the family's 1533-position model. The record is from RNAcentral.